RNAcentral lists this ribosomal RNA (253 nucleotides) under uncultured bacterium. Its description in RNAcentral is "partial 16S ribosomal RNA". It matches the Rfam family "Bacterial small subunit ribosomal RNA", at positions 524 to 776 of the family's 1533-position model. The record is from RNAcentral.
UACGUAGGGUGCAGGCGUUAAUCGGAAUUACUGGGCGUAAAGCGUGCGCAGGCGGUUUGCUAAGACAGGUGUGAAAUCCCCGGGCUUAACCUGGGAACUGCGCUUGUAACUGGCAAGCUAGAGUGUGGCAGAGGGGGGUGGAAUUCCAGGUGUAGCAGUGAAAUGCGUAGAUAUGCGGAGGAACACCGAUGGCGAAGGCAAUCCCCUGGGCCUGCACUGACGCUCAUGCACGAAAGCGUGGGGAGCAAACAGG